GGUUAAGCGACUAAGCGUACACGGUGGAUGCCCUGGCAGUCAGAGGCGAUGAAGGACGUGCUAAUCUGCGAUAAGCGCCGGUAAGGUGAUAUGAACCGUUAUAACCGGCGAUUUCCGAAUGGGGAAACCCAGUGUGACUCGUCACACUAUCAUUAACUGAAUCCAUAGGUUAAUGAGGCGAACCGGGGGAACUGAAACAUCUAAGUACCCCGAGGAAAAGAAAUCAACCGAGAUUCCCCCAGUAGCGGCGAGCGAACGGGGAGGAGCCCAGAGCCUGAAUCAGCAUGUGUGUUAGUGGAAGCGUCUGGAAAGGCGCGCGAUACAGGGUGACAGCCCCGUACACAAAAGCGCAUGUGCUGUGAGCUCGAUGAGUAGGGCGGGACACGUGGUAUCCUGUCUGAAUAUGGGGGGACCAUCCUCCAAGGCUAAAUACUCCUGACUGACCGAUAGUGAACCAGUACCGUGAGGGAAAGGCGAAAAGAACCCCGGCGAGGGGAGUGAAAAAGAACCUGAAAC
This 516-nucleotide ribosomal RNA is filed under the name Salmonella enterica. RNAcentral describes it as "partial 23S ribosomal RNA". It matches the Rfam family "Bacterial large subunit ribosomal RNA", at positions 1 to 556 of the family's 2925-position model. Lineage: Bacteria; Pseudomonadati; Pseudomonadota; Gammaproteobacteria; Enterobacterales; Enterobacteriaceae. The record is from RNAcentral.